Molecule: small nucleolar RNA, 138 nt
Filed under: Ornithorhynchus anatinus (platypus)
Lineage: Eukaryota; Metazoa; Chordata; Mammalia; Monotremata; Ornithorhynchidae
Source: RNAcentral
CCCCUCUCAGGGUCUCACCUGGAGAGUUCCCAGUACUCUACCAGACUUGACUACUGCAGAGAGAGUCAGGCAGAAGCAUAUCCAUUCCAUUCCUAGCUUGGGCAGUGGCUAGCAAGUGGAAGGCAAUCUGCUACAAGU